CCAGCUGUGGAGGAACAAGCUGUCAUGCGUAUUCAUCGUAUUGGUCAAACAAAAAGGGUGAUGAUCAGGCGGUUUAUCAUGAAGGGAACGGUUGAGGAGAAAAUGGAAGCAGUACAAGCACGUAAGCAGCGACUCAUUUCGGGUGCUUUGACUGACCAAGAAGUUCGAACUGCUCGCAUAGAGGAACUAAAGAUGCUUUUUACUUGAAAGCAUUGGAGAAAAUUAUUAACUGUUCAUUUAUGUCACUUUUUUCGGAUGGGUUUGAGCACUAAGAGAUCCUCAUAUGGAAAUGUUUAAACCCAGAAAGAUGAGACGAGAUGCUUCUUCCGAGUUGCAGGACUUCGGGGGAGGUUGGUUGAGGCUAAUUUGUAAUUAAGCUUACAAAAUUUGAAUUCCUGCCGAGUCGAAUCCAAGGACGGUCAGAGCUUGGACUGUGCAGGGUCGUUAUUUUUGCAAGCUGCCUCUAAAGGCGGGUUGGUUCACAGGAAGGAUCGAAAGAAGUUAGCACAUCCAAUCCAAUCCAAAUGUAGUUUUGAUAUUGUUAGGAUUUAAUGGUAGUAAAGUUAUUUCAAAUCAUAGGAAUCCUCUGGAUUAUCCCUUUACAAUUUCUUUGUAUAGAUUGUUUUAUGUAUUUAUUUAGUAACGUUUGCAUCACAUUGUUACAUUGUACCCGGGAUCAAGUUUCUGCUGCAAAACAUAAUCAGUGAGAUUUGUAUCAAA
Molecule: long non-coding RNA, 720 nt
Organism: Prunus persica (peach)
Lineage: Eukaryota; Viridiplantae; Streptophyta; Magnoliopsida; Rosales; Rosaceae
Exons: 2
Source: RefSeq, a predicted model, not a curated record